RNAcentral lists this ribosomal RNA (440 nucleotides) under uncultured bacterium. Its description in RNAcentral is "partial 16S ribosomal RNA". It matches the Rfam family "Bacterial small subunit ribosomal RNA", at positions 338 to 795 of the family's 1533-position model. The record is from RNAcentral.
CCUACGGUGUGCAGCAGUGGGGAAUAUUGGACAAUGGGGGAAACCCUUAUCCAGCGACGCCGCGUGAGGGAAGAAGGUUUUCGGAUUGUACACCUCUGUCAGUGGGGACGAUAAUGACGGUACCCACGGAGGAAGCCACGGCUAACUACGUGCCAGCAGCCGCGGUAAUACGUAGGUGGCAAGCGUUGUCCGGAAUUACUGGGUGUAAAGGGUGCGUAGGCGGGAUGUCAAGUCAGAAGUGAAAAUUAUGGGCUCAACUCAUAAACUGCGUUUGAAACUGAUAUUCUUGAGGGAAGUAGAGGAAAGCGGAAUGCCUAGUGUAGCGGUGAAAGGCAUAGAUAGUAGGAGGAAAACCAGUGGCGAAGGCGGCUUGAUGGGCUUUUACUGACGCUGAGGCUCGAAAGCGUGGGGAGCAAACAGGAUUAGAUACCCUAGUAGUC